UACGAAGGGUGCAAGCGUUACUCGGAAUUACUGGGCGUAAAGCGUGCGUAGGUGGUUGUUUAAGUCUGUUGUGAAAGCCCUGGGCUCAACCUGGGAAUUGCAGUGGAUACUGGGCGACUAGAGUGUGGUAGAGGGUAGUGGAAUUCCUGGUGUAGCAGUGAAAUGCGUAGAGAUCAGGAGGAACAUCCAUGGCGAAGGCAGCUACCUGGACCAACACUGACACUGAGGCACGAAAGCGUGGGGAGCAAACAGG
RNAcentral lists this ribosomal RNA (253 nucleotides) under uncultured bacterium. Its description in RNAcentral is "partial 16S ribosomal RNA". It matches the Rfam family "Bacterial small subunit ribosomal RNA", at positions 524 to 776 of the family's 1533-position model. The record is from RNAcentral. RNAcentral also lists the same sequence under 1 other name.